GAUGAGCCCGCGGCCUAUCAGCUAGUUGGUGAGGUAACGGCUCACCAAGGCUAAGACGGGUAGCUGGUCUGAGAGGACGACCAGCCACACUGGAACUGAGACACGGUCCAGACACCUACGGGUGGCAGCAGUCGAGAAUUUUUCACAAUGGGGGAAACCCUGAUGGAGCGACGCCGCGUGGGGGAUGAAUGGCUUCGGCCCGUAAACCCCUGUCAUUCGGGAUCAAUGCCUGCGGAUUAAUACCUCGCAGGUUGAUAGUACCGGAAGAGGAAGGGACGGCUAACUCUGUGCCAGCAGCCGCGGUAAUACAGAGGUCCCAAGCGUUGUUCGGAUUCACUGGGCGUAAAGGGUGCGUAGGUGGUCGGGUAAGUCUGAUGUGAAAUCUCGGAGCUCAACUCCGAAACGGCAUUGGAUACUAUUCGGCUUGAGAGUUGGAGGGGGGACUGGAAUUCUCGGUGUAGCAGUGAAAUGCGUAGAUAUCGAGAGG
RNAcentral lists this ribosomal RNA (487 nucleotides) under uncultured Verrucomicrobiota bacterium. RNAcentral describes it as "bacterial SSU rRNA". It matches the Rfam family "Bacterial small subunit ribosomal RNA", at positions 224 to 704 of the family's 1533-position model. Lineage: Bacteria; Pseudomonadati; Verrucomicrobiota. The record is from RNAcentral.